This is a non-coding RNA of Biomphalaria pfeifferi, 334 nucleotides long. The record is from the annotation of a GenBank genome assembly. NCBI's taxonomy places the organism in Eukaryota, Metazoa, Mollusca, Gastropoda, Planorbidae.
UACUGUUAAUUUCCACUUUUAUUUUGAUUAUACAUUUUAUUUCUACACAUAAGUGUCCAUAGAGAAAAUACAUUGUCUACAUGGUAUUCAUUCAUGUCUUCUCACACUAAGUGCUGAUUAUUAUAGAGCAUACAUUUUAGUACCAAAUAGAUUCAAUUAAGGCAAUUAAAAAAUAAAAGAGAGAUAGUAUAUUUUUGUAAAUCAGACCUCAUCAGAAAAUCAGAUUAACUGGAUUCUUCUGUACUAGAUAUAUAUACAUAUAUAUACAAGCAUGUAAAACAAAAAGCUAUUUUUCAUAAUACGAAUUCUUUUACAAAAAAAAAAAAAAAAAAAG